GGAAUCAAACCGUGACCUCCUGGUUCAUGGGUGGGCACUCAACCACUGAGCCUCACAAGCCAGGCCCCACUGCUAUUUUCGAUGCAAAUAAAUUUCAGGUAG
Molecule: long non-coding RNA, 102 nt
Organism: Myotis davidii
Lineage: Eukaryota; Metazoa; Chordata; Mammalia; Chiroptera; Vespertilionidae
Exons: 3
Source: RefSeq, a predicted model, not a curated record